UUAUGGAAUACUUAAUAAUACUUGGUAUGUUCAGGUCCUUUGGAUUAUUUUUUGUGGAAUAUCAGAAGAAAUUCUUAGCAACAUCGUCUGUAAUUUCUACGGUUCUCUCUGUUCAAACAAUUAUAGCAAGCGUUUUAUCAAUUGUUGUCAUGGGAAUCGGAACAAAAUACUUUGGUGAACGGUCCUUGAUAAUUGGUGCUGCACUGUUUGGGCUCGCCUCCAGUGUAGGCAAUGCAUUUGCCCCUCGGCCUUCGGUAUUGUUCUUCACCCAAAGUACUUUAUUUGCUUUAACAGCAGUGACGGCGCAUACUCCAUCCACUUUGAUACUCGGUAAAUACUUCGAGAAACGUAGAGGGAUGGCUAAUGCGAUUGCAAAUGUCGGUGGGAGCAUAGGAGGAUUGGCUUUACCCCCUUUAUUUGCUUAUUUAUUUGAAAUUUAUGG
Molecule: long non-coding RNA, 442 nt
Organism: Saccostrea echinata
Lineage: Eukaryota; Metazoa; Mollusca; Bivalvia; Ostreida; Ostreidae
Exons: 3
Source: RefSeq, a predicted model, not a curated record